This 30-nucleotide non-coding RNA is filed under the name Rattus norvegicus (Norway rat). Lineage: Eukaryota; Metazoa; Chordata; Mammalia; Rodentia; Muridae. The record is from RNAcentral.
UAGAUUAUCUCUGCUUCUCUAGUGUCAACU